Molecule: unclassified non-coding RNA, 240 nt
Filed under: soil metagenome
Description: partial contains 5.8S ribosomal RNA, internal transcribed spacer 2, and large subunit ribosomal RNA
Source: RNAcentral
AACACUGUUAACCUGCGGUACCUGCGAGGGAUCAUUAACAAGCCCGUGAAGAUCACAUUCCAAACGGAUGUGAUUUUUCACCCCGGCCACCCUUGUUUACCUUAACCCUGUUGCUUUGGUGGGCCUGCCAGAAAGGCCGCUGGGGAACUUUAUUUCCGGGCGAGUGCUCACCAAAGUCCCGUUGAACUCUUUCUGAAGUUAUGCAGUCUGAGCACGCGAAAACCAAUGUUAUAUAAAACU